GUAUAAUUAAUACAAUGCUUUGUGAAUAUGAAAUACACAAGUAAUCAGUGUCUUCCUAUUUCCUUUCUAUUAUAAGAAUAAUAACUACCAUUUAUUAAGAGUCAACCAUGUCCUGGACACUUGUCAACUCCGCAAGCAGUUCCAAGUCCUUCCCACCUCUCAGCUGUGAAUAGAAGUGAUAACCCUUCCCACUAAGAAAUGCAAAGAAGCACACAUGCCCCAUAAUCUGAAGACUUAUGGAAACACUGUGAGAUAGAGAUCCCUGAAGAGCCCCCCACAUAAAGAACUGUAGAGCUGCACUGACCAGUAGGAUGCUCCAUUUUAAAUUGCCUGGAUCAAGAAUGCAAUAGCAGUUAUAUCACUGAUGGGCAGUGAUCCGUCUGCCAGCACAUAUUUUUAUUUCAGUUGACAUUAAAUAAUAUGUCUCUAACAAAUGCUUUAUAUAAAGGGAACAACUCUGAAGUUGGAGGAUUCGCUUCAUAAUGCGUGCAUAUAAAAGACAUUUCAUCAAGAGAUGAAGAAUGCUAAAAAUAUUAAGGUAUCAUUGCAACCUUUUGACAUUUUGAUGAAAUCGAAUCAUCCAAAAACUAUAAUCAGUGCUGCAGAUAAAGAAAGCCUAAAAUUUGUUUCUAGCAAGCCAACUAUUACUGUUUUUUGUUUUUUUUCAAUUAAGUAGUGGACUGUCUUUAAUCAUGAGAUAUAGUCGUGUUAUAUUCCAUGUUCUGGGUUAUGUGCAACUUUAUUUGUGAAGGUGUGUUUUGUACCAAAGGCUCUCAUACAUAGAUUAGCCCAUUUACAUAUAAAUAAGUGAAGUCUACACUGUGCCCAAAUGAAUGGUAUUAAAGACAGACUUGCCUAAAAGAAAUGUGCCUUGCUUGAUUAAACAUUCUUUUAUUUUUUAAUUCAAAAUGAUAAAUUUGCAAAUUAGCCUUAUAGGUUUUAGCUGAGCUGAACUUGACAAAAAUGUAUUAGUACUUAUUACAUGUUUUAAUAUUCUAUCUUAAUUAAAAUUGUAACAUUUAGUUAUACUUUCAACAGUUCAUAUAUAAUAUAUUCAUUUAAUUUUGUUUUCAUGGGAUGUUUGGUGUGGUGAGACAAAGCACAUUCUUAAAGAUAUAUAUAAUAUUUCAUCUAAUGUUUAUAGCUUUUCCUUCAAAAUUAUAUAUGUAAAAGUUUCCUUAACUCAUUUUCUAUUUUUAUAUUCUUUUAGAAAUGGAACUCUUUUUCAAUUAAAAAAAAAGUUUUAGUUGGAAAAGAGAUUUAGGAGGUCAUGAAGAUGGCUUCCCAUUUGGGGACAUUUCACUUCUGUGCCAUUAAUGUAUUUACUGUGACAUUUCAGCAGAAUGGUAGCUAUUUGUAUAUUAUUUCAUAAGCCUUAUGGAAAGUCAAACUGUGAAAAUUUAUUAUAUAGAACGCUUUUUUAUUUCCAUAUUUUAGUUUCAAAAUAUACCUGAACAAAUGCAUAAAUAACCAAUCCUCUGUUGUUUAAAUGUAUAACCAUGCUAUGUUAUAAUAAGAGCACUUGUAGAAUUUUAGUAACUAUAAAAAUAUUUCAGUAGCAAAGCCAAGAUUAUAAAUGUUUUGAUCCCCUACAGAAUGGAGUAAAAGUGAUGAAUUGCAUUGUAUGAGAAUCAGUAACUAAAACAAUCUUAUGCCUGCAGCCAAACAGAUAGAUAAAUAAGAGAUACAAUCUAGGUAACUUUCUUUGAGGCAAGGUCUACAAUGAAUGUCUCACAAUCUGCUGGUAAUUUCUUUGUGUCAAAAUUUUGAGACUAGAUCACUACAGGAAAAAAUGAAAGUCUGACAGCUAUCUCAGAUUUGAGCUAUGUGAACUUUUAGUCAAGACGAUUUGUGAUUAAAGUGAAAAUUUAGCCACUGCCUUGUCUUUGUUCUAUGUUAGCCCAUUUAGUAGAGAUAUGGGCCUGGAGAAUAGUCAGUCCAUUGCAGCAAACAUAAUCCUUAUAACUAAUUAUCACAGCCUGGGUAACAGUAAAGUAAUGCAUAUUAGCUACUGGGAUGAUUGAAACAAACUGAUCAACUGUGUUACAGGAGGUCUUAGACAUUCAGAUGUUUUAGUAAGGAUCAGUAGGUGUUACAAAAAUAGACACAAAAACUACCUUUAUAAAACACGAAUGAAACAACUGUAUGCAUUAUAGUAUAUUUAAUAUCUGAAUUAUUAUUACAGUUUCAAAUAAAGACAAAACCUGGAUUUUUGUGAUAAAAGCACAGGAUGGUGUCAGAUGAGUAAACUGUUAUACUGAAUAUGAUUCACAGAAAGGAUAGUAAAAAUGCUACUGGUUUAGAUAACAGUAGACCAGAAUAUUUAUUCACUUUCUACCUGUGGGACCUUAGGUAAAUCUGUUACAUUACUAGGCUUCAGUUUGCAGGCUUGAAUUGCAAGAUGGGCGUGCUGGAUUCAAUGAUCUCCAAAGCCCUUACCAGUCCCCAAAUUCUCAUUAUACACAUUUGAGAAAUGCUUUGAAGAAAACAGGGCCGGGUGCGGUGGCUCACGCCUGUAAUCCUAGCACUUUCGGAGGCCAAGGCAGGUGUAUCACAAGGUGUGAAGAGUUCGAGACCAGCCUGGCCAACAUAGUGAAACCCCAACUCCACUAAAAAUACAAAAAUUAGCUGGGCAUGGUGGUACAUGCCUGUAGUCCCAGCUACUCGUGAGGCUGAGGCAGGAGAACCGCUUGAACCCAGGAGGUGGAGGUUGCAGUGAGCCAAGAUCAUGCCACUGCACUUAGCUUGGGCAACAGAGUGAGACUUUGUCUCAGAAAAAAAGAAAACUUAAGUACCCAGAUUUUCUUAUGCAGGAAAGAAACAUGAAGUAAGAUUUAAGCCUUGAAAGUAUCAUAAAUAUAUCAUUCUUCAGAUUGAUUGUGAUGAAAGGAAAUAGGAUUCUUUCUCCUUAGAAUUUUCACUGAUCUAUAAUGGGAUCAAAAAAGUAGAAAAAUCAGUCUGCAGAAUGAAAACAGAUUAAUGAAAUAGCUAGAAAGGAGGGGAGAGCAUUUGUUUAGUUAAAUGUUAAGGUAACUUGAAAAUUGUCUAUGAAAUGCUAAAACUGUACCAGAGCCUUAUUGCACACUCAACAUUUUAAGCCUGGGAGCAGGGGAAGGUGGGAAAAGGUUGGAGUGAUAGAAGUGUUUGCCUUAUGAUCUCUUGACUCCUUUUACACAAGAAGCAGAUUGGUAGAGCUUAAGCAGGUGUCUGUGCUGUGGUGCUGGCUCUGCCAAAAACUCUCAUAUACCCUAGGAAAGUUCCUUUAACUUCUCUGAGCCUGAGUUUAUCUGUAAAGUGAAGACUUUUUAAAUUUAGUAAUCUGUAUGUCUCUUCAUCUCUGAGAAUUCUAUAAUGUUUUCAGAUUGUUAUAUGUGUACAUGUACAUGUUGCUUCCCUCUAGUCACUAAGAUGCCACAUAUUUCUACUUGAGUGAACAGAUUGCAAGUCCAAAUGUUCUUGUUUCUAAUACUAAUAAUUGAUCUCAGCAAGACAUAAAAAAGUAAAAAAAAAAAGUAAUCUUACCUUUUAUUUGACCUUGGCUUUAAAUUAUUGAUUUAUCAUUUCAUCUUUGAAUGCUGAGUGAAUUACCUAAACAGAAUGUCUGUUCCAGUUAAUCUUCUCUUUAAAUUUUUGUAGUUUAAUAAACAUGUAGCAAAUCAGAAGCAAGUAUAUCAUGCUUAUCGAUGAACUGUAGGAGAUUGUAAUGGUGCAUUUUUGUCACAUUAAAAAGUUCAUGUCCUUUUGGUCCCAGAAGCAAUUACUAUAAUUUAAAAUAAUAUUCACAAAAUUUUGUGAAUGUUUUUGAAUACAAAGGAGGCCUAAUACAGCCAUAUUGUAGUUCAUUUUGCUCAGGAGUGAGAAACAAAAUUCAGGGAUAACCCAAACAUGUCUGUUUGGCAAUAGUGGAUAGUUAGGUAAAGAAGGGUUAUAGCUUUUGCACAUCACAGAUAAGAGGCGACUGUACCUAUUGAAAAACAGCAGUAUAUUCUGGUUCUUGGUUUCAUGAUGGAAAGAUAUUAGAAUGAUACUAAAAUUUGGAUGCUCGGGAAAUUGAAUAAUACAGAAAUAUUUUGUCAUACUGAGAUUAUUUGUCCAGAAGUUUAGUCUUAUAUCCUUUCCAUUCAGAAAAGGGGGCAGUUUUUAAAGGCCUCUGUCAUAAAAGGAAAUGUAUAUUUUGACUAGUGGAGCAAUUAGUUAAAACAUUUAAUCUGAUCAUUUUGGUUUUAUGGAUCUGAAUUUCCACUUUAGGUGUAAUUGAGUCGCUUAUGUAUUACUGUGAUCUUUGUGAGAAGUGAUUUCGUCCAUUUUUUUAAAUUUGAUGAAACUUGAUAAAUGGUGAUUCUAGCAUAUUGUGUUAAUACUGUAUCUUACAACAAUUUGUGAACUGACCAUCAUAAACGAAUCAUAGUAGUAUCUCUUCUGGUAAGUUGUUUCUAUAUGUGAUCUCUUAAUGCUGGGUUUGGGGGUGGGAAUGGGGUUAAGUAUUUAGUUUAUUUUAAACUGUCAAAGUGUUUUUCUUAAAUGCCAUAAAAUUAUAUGACUAUAAGCCAAAUAAGAAUAUUCUCUUUUUUCACUUUUAAGGGCACUGUAUAGACCAUUUUUGAAACUAUCCCACAGAAUGGUAUAAUUUCAGUUUAAAAGCUCUUACACACAUACACACACACAAAUAUAAAUAUAUAUAUACACAUUCAAGGGAAAGCAAACAGUGUAUGUAGUAUUUCUAAGUGACAUGCUACAUGUUAUAAGAAUCUAUUUUUGAAAUCUUAUACAGAUUAUGCAGAAGUCAGAAUAACAAAUACAACACCUCAAUUUUUUAUACAGUCUAGCGUUAGUUUACUAUAAGAUUUGCUUACAUCAUACUUGCAAAGAUCAUUCACAUAAUUUAUUUAGCGUUGAAAAUAUUUAUAUGAAGUACUAAUGUCAUCUGAAGCUUAGAGAUUAAACAACCAAGGUUUAGAAAGAUCAAAUGACUAGUCCAAGAUAAUAUGGCCAAUAAAUGGCUCUAAAUCUCCUAUGUUCUUUAUACUAUUCACUUUUUGUCAUGUUAUUUUUAUCCUGUCACUGCCAUUAUCUUUAAAAUUCUGACAAAAAUUUAAUUUUAAAAGUUACAUUGGGAAUUUUCAGAUUUUAGUGCAAAGACAUUGUUGCUGUUCUUGUCAGACCUUUUCAGAUACCUCCAGACUAUAGCCCUUCCACAGGGUGAUAUUCAAACAUUUUCCACCUAAAACGUAUAAGUUUGCACACCCUGACUACAGACACUGAAUUCACUUGAUGUCAGAAUGCUAGACUAAAAGUUGAUCUUCUUGACUGACAUUUCUAAUCUCCCUUUUUAAAAAUCCAUCAUAAGGACUGACUUCUGAACAGUUGAAUAAAGCAGUAAUCAAUCCAAGAAACUGCAUCCAUUCUGAUUCAGAGGAAAAAAAAAUCCAACCUAGUGACCAUUUUUCAGCAUACUGUAUUUCAUCACAUUUAUUCUGUGAUUAGUGGAGGACAGAGAAGAGGGACUGGGGAGAAAAACUGCCUUUAUUUUAAGAAAGCUCAUUUCCUGUAACUAUUCAAAAAGAAUUGAUUAUCAAGUGUUAGAUAACAAUAUUACUAACAUUUAUCAUAGUUCAAAUAUUUAGUAAAAUUUCUCCACAUAUUUAAAAUUUUACUUAAGAGUUUUCCCAGUGAAAAUAUAAUGACUGCUUCGUUUGAAUAAGGAAGACAUUCCUUUCAAUUCAUGACACAAUAGUACAUUUUUAUUCUUUUCUCAGACAGCAGAGAGACACUGUUACUGCUUUCCCUUGUAAGUCAACAGUCUGUGAUACAUGCUGUACUUUUACUGAUUAGCAAUGCAAUGUUACUGUGAAUAUUUAACUAGAACUUAUUAUAUUGGAAUUUAAAAUUUUCUAACAUUGAAUUUAGUUCUCUUCAUCAAAUAAAUAAGCAAGCAUUAUUUUUAUGAAAUGAAAUAAUCAUUCUUAAGCAGUGAUGAUAAUGGAAUUCUGAAUAAGAUGUAAAAUCAAACAUUCUAUUUUUUCUGUUUAUCCUUUGACAUUGAGUUGUUUUAAUUUAUUACAUAUUAUUAAGUUGAAAUAAGCUUUAUACCAUGUUCUCUGAUGUUCUUGUCAUAAUAAUUUCGGGCCUUUUGUUAAGUAAAUAUCAGAAAAUAUCUGUGAGUUUUGAUUAUGUGAUAUUUUCAUCUGAUUGAUUUUUUAAAUUUCUCAUUGGAUUUAAAGUGUUUUCUUUGCUAAUGUUAUAUACAGAAUUCAAUAAAAGAC
RNA transcript from Gorilla gorilla gorilla (western lowland gorilla), 6263 nucleotides. RefSeq lists it as uncharacterized. The record is from RefSeq and is a predicted model, not a curated record. Lineage: Eukaryota; Metazoa; Chordata; Mammalia; Primates; Hominidae. The transcript has 3 exons.